GUGCCUGUCACUUUCUCUGUUUUGUUUUUACAUUUUAGCGUAGUCGGAUUCAUGUCCAAAUUGUGGAGGUUCUUCUCGUCGGCAAUCGUUCGGUCGUCUGCUCUCCUCGUUUUGUUCUGUUGUUUGGAGAUUUUCUUCCACAGUCUCGGAAUUGCAUUUUGGUUGUACCCGUGGCGUGCCGCCUGCUCUAGUGUCCAGUCCAGCUCAUUGUUCCUGUCGGCUUGUGUUGUGCAGUGCGUUUCUGUCCGCUGUGGCGGGGCUCUGAGGGCUGCCGGUUUGCGGUGCCGGGGUUCGUUUGCGUCAGCUCUUAUGAGUGUGGGUGCAUAAGUGUCCUUUCUAGGAGUACUCAAGUGAUAUUCCCCUUGG
RNAcentral lists this long non-coding RNA (366 nucleotides) under Androctonus crassicauda. Lineage: Eukaryota; Metazoa; Arthropoda; Arachnida; Scorpiones; Buthidae. The record is from RNAcentral.